Molecule: small nuclear RNA, 295 nt
Filed under: Jaculus jaculus (lesser Egyptian jerboa)
Lineage: Eukaryota; Metazoa; Chordata; Mammalia; Rodentia; Dipodidae
Description: 7SK RNA (ENSJJAG00000006660.1)
Rfam family: 7SK RNA
About the family: 7SK was discovered as an abundant small nuclear RNA in the mid-70s but a possible function has only recently been suggested. Two independent studies have found that 7SK RNA binds the CDK9/cyclin T complex (known as elongation factor P-TEFb). P-TEFb activates transcription by phosphorylating the C-terminal domain of RNA polymerase II.
Source: Rfam by way of RNAcentral
GGAUGUAAGGGCAAUCUGGCUGUGACAUCUGUCACCCCAUUGAUCGCCAGGGUUGAUUCGGCUGAUCUGGCUGGCUAGGUAGAUGCCCCCUUCAUCCCUCACUGCUCCACGUAUGUCCCUCCUGAAGCUGCGUGCUCGAUUGAAGAGGACGACCUUCCCCGAAUAGAGGAGGACCAGUCUUCAAUCAAGGGUAUAUGAGUAGCUGCGCUCCCCUGCUAGAACCUCCAAACAAAAUGGCCAAUUGUCUCUGACAAGGAAAAAGGAGUACAACAUAUAACUGUGGUUCUCCUUAGUU